AUGAAAAAGCAAACAUAAUAUAGGAAUUUAGAUGGAUUUGGAGUUAAAAAUUAUUACAGAUCUAAAGAUCUGCAUGGAAAAAUUAGAGGUACUGGCAUACUUCAUUCUGUAAAAAAGUGGGGGGCAGUAGAAGACAUUCUUAGUGGGAAAACUAUUAACUGCUGAUAAAAAUGGGCCUAAAAUAGCCUUUUCCAGUUAGUAAUGGGGAAGAUGAGACAGAAGGACUAUCCUAGAACCUUUGACAUCAGACAUGCUUCCAGUUCUCCAGUCUUCUUAUUAGUGCUAAGAAGGUCUUGAUGGCUCAAUCAUAAUUUUUUCCAUAAGACUUCAAAAAAGCUUUUUGUUUUUCUAUUUCCUCCUGAUAUAUCUACUUUCCCUCUGGGACUUUGUGAAUUUUAAAAUUUAUACUGUCACAUUCAGUUUUCUUCAGACUGAGGAAAGCCUGAUACGCUGAAUUAUGCUCUGCUUUUUAAAGCACGUCAUCAUUCACUCCAGGAUAUUCGUUGCGGAGAAGGUUGAUGUUACAGUUUUACAAUUCACUUUAUCUCAUUUGAUUUCAUGAAGAAAAAGUAUACAAAAAUAUGAAAGGGGAAAAACAAGAGUUUUAACAACAACCAUCUCCAAUGUGAUGCAGUAGUCCUCUCUUGCCCAUUUUUAUUUUAUCCCCUCAGCCUCCAUACAGUUAUCAAUCAAAAAUUAGCCAGUUAAACCUGUUUCAGUAGGUCAUUGCCAGUAUGUUUGUUUGACCUCAACAAUUUGAUCUGCAUGACUGCAAUCACCCCCUCGUGUUCUCUGUGAUUAAAUCUCAUCUAUUUCUGAUCUACUCACACACUGUGGUCCUAAUGACCUUUCUUGCUUUAACUCCAUCACAUUGCAUUCAGGAUAAAAUCCGACCUCAGCAAGGCCCAUGAAGUCCCCACAAAGUCCCAUGUCUUCC
Molecule: long non-coding RNA, 937 nt
Filed under: Bos taurus (domestic cattle)
Lineage: Eukaryota; Metazoa; Chordata; Mammalia; Artiodactyla; Bovidae
Description: long non-coding RNA NONBTAT004131
Source: RNAcentral